RNAcentral lists this long non-coding RNA (830 nucleotides) under Ananas comosus (pineapple). Its description in RNAcentral is "long non-coding RNA (ACOM_LNC001430)". The record is from RNAcentral. Lineage: Eukaryota; Viridiplantae; Streptophyta; Magnoliopsida; Poales; Bromeliaceae.
AACUUCAAAACUUGACGAAUUAUCAUAAUCAUAAUUAAUUUAUCAUAUUCUGCUGAAAAAAAAAGGUAAAAGGCACUACAACAAAAACGGUCUAUAGCGACACUUUUAAAUGUAGGUACAUGUCAAAAAAGUGCUGCUAGCUAAAAUUACCGACACUUUUAAAAANGUGAAUGAUCGAUAGAGAAUUUCUUUUGUGACUGCAACUUCAAAACUUGACGAAUUAUCAUAAUCAUAAUUAAUUUAUCAUAUUCUGCUGAAAAAAAAAGGUAAAAGGCACUACAACAAAAACGGUCUAUAGCGACACUUUUAAAUGUAGGUACAUGUCAAAAAAGUGCUGCUAGCUAAAAUUACCGACACUUUUAAAAAAUAUUGCUAUAUGUGGGGUUGCUAGGUAUAUAGUGACAGUUAAAGAGAGGCGCUAUAACCUAAAAGAGUGCUGCUAAUUUACCAACAACUUAUUUAAGCAUUUAGCAACCGCUGAAACUCUAUCUCGUUGGCUGCGAUGGCGGAGGAGGACGACAGAAAUGUCUCUUCGUCUAGAAUUUCAGUGGAUUGAGUGAAGAGAGAAGAAAAUAUGGUAAUUAAUUUUUCUUUUUUUUUUCUUUUCUGUUUGUAAUCAGGCCAAAUGGACUGGGUGUGGUGGGUUGAGUAAAGUAAUCUUUUAUUUUUGGUUGGAUUGGGCUUUAUAUUUAGGCAUUAGUAGAUAUUUUUUUAAAUUUUAGUAUAAAUGGGAUACUUACUCAAAAGUGUCCCAAACAUGUGUUUCUAUAACCUAAUUCUGUUGUAGUGGCUAUACAUUCAUUGCAUGCUACAGACAUUCUUCUUCCCCG